AGUUGCGUCCCCAAUUGCGCCGCUGGCCUGAGCUAAAGGAGCAGCUCCUCACUGUUCGAGACGAGACCAGCGUUGGGGUUCUGGGUCACCUCUUUUCUCCCGGCUUUUCCCUUGCUCUCUGGUUCCUGAAUUAGCUGUUUGUUUAUGGCUCCAGACGUGUGUGUGCCAGCGAGCCGAGGCAACGCGCGAGGGAGGGAAUUGAUCUUUCCCCAGACUCAAAGCUGGAGCCGAAGAAGUGCGGGGGAUUUGGGGGUUCUGAGUGGGACUCAGACCCUGGGUGCUGAGGGGAAGCCCGUGGGCUCUCUGGCCCGCUUCUCUAACCUCAGCGACCUUGCAGGAAUCCUCAGGCCUGAGAGCGCCCAGGCUCUGGGCUUUGCAGAAAGUGGCGGCGGCUGUGUCCCGGGUUUUAAAAUCUACGCAAAGAAAGGAGGCAAAGCUGAAAGCUUGUCGCGUGUCAGAAGCAACCUGCCGUGAAAUCCGCUAAUGCGCCCCGACUCGCCCUUCGCGAAUUCUAUUGACCAUGGCUUUUGUCGGAGAGAGAAUUCUAACUACUGCUGCUCUGGGCUCAGAGCUGAGGCUGGAAACAAGUAAAUCUAGCAAGAAUAGAUGGAGAGGUGCUGGUGACUGGAGCCACGUGGCCUUGCAUAGAAACCUGCCUUUUACUCUGCCUGCCUUGCUCCAGUUCAGGAAAAAGGUCGGCCCCUUUGGAACAGAUUUGCUUACUUGGAAGGCUGGGUAUUCAUUUGGCAAGUUCUUUCCAGCUCUAGCCAGGCUAGGGGAGAAAAUGAGACAAUGGAAGAUUGCUCCACAGGCUUUUGGUCAAAGCUAACCCAAGGCAGGAAAUACUUGAAGAUCACGUCCUAAAUUUCAACCCCACCCCGACCCCUUCAAGACUCUAGGGCAUCACAGAGCUGCUAGAGUGGAGAAAGAAUGCUGAGAUCUGAGUCUGGUUGUCAGUGGGCACCCAGCCUCCACAACAGGAACCACAGCCAUAGUGUCAAACUGUGUGAAGAAGGAGCCUGAAGAUUCACAGCUCCAGGUUGCUGGAGAGAGUUAGUCCCUAAAUGAGGCUGGAGAAGUGGGCAAUGAGAAAGAUCAGGUGAGUUCCCCAGGAAGCCAGUCACAGAAUCUGCAUUCCUGUUGCAAGAAGCUGAUGCUGGAGACCCAAAGACUUGACCUGCCGAAGGGUACCUACCCAUCUCCCUCCUGGCCUAGUCAGGGACCUCCACCUCACCUCCUCACUGCCUCCAUCUGGGAGAAAGUCACCUCGACUUUCAAGACUAAAUGAAUCAGAUCACAGAACCUGUCAGAUUUCCAAGGAACAAGCAACCCAUACCCUUCCCCGAAACCCUAACACGGAGAAAGUCCAUGGAAGGGAUGGCUGGCAGAGCUUUCAUUUCAACAAGUACUGGGAGCUAAACCUUCUAGGCCGGUUUCCAGAGCAGCAACAAGAACAUAAAAGGAAGCAAUUAACGGUUUUCUAAAUCAGUCCCAGCUUGUGCCGCCUGACUCCAAACCUAAAGGUGCAUUUAAGGGUACUAAGGGACCUGGCUAGGUAGUAGUUGUGUUUAUUUGUUUGUUUGUUUGUUUGUUUGUUUUCUAAUGAUACUGUUAAAUGUGUGUGUGAAACCACAGCCAAGAAGCCACAUUGUUCCAGAACCAGGCAGUAAAAUUGUAGGAGUGAGCACUGCAGACAGCAUGCCCAAUAUGGAGUACAGGGAAAUAUGGAGUAUGGGAGACAUGGAGAAACUGCGGUGAAUUCUGACAAUUACGUUGAACACAUUGGGAGUUUGCAGGAAGAUACACUGUGGGCUCUUUUGUAUUUUUAUGUAGAUUUAAAAACAAACAAAACCCCCCAAACCAGGCUGUUGAUGCAAUCAUAGCAUCUCAGAUGUAGCAUAUUUAUAUUUAUAUUUCCCCAAGUAUAUUCACAGGAUAUAUAUAUCCUGGGUUGAUGUGGAAAACAAACAAACAUUUUGCUGAUUCCAGCACAAACUCUGAAAGCCAAAACAAACAAACAAACCACUGUGGAGGACAAGGAGAGGGUGACUUCAAGCAGUCCUUCCUAUAGUCUGGGACUGUGGAGCCCAGAAAAAGCUAAGUAGAUCAUCCUGAACUAAAAGUUACCUUGGGAAACAAGACUUGAGAUCCGGAGUUGAGGUCAUGCGGGGGUCAUCCAGUAUUCCUUUGGAGCAUAGCAUAGCUGAGAACUUAGCUGGACUCAGUCACUUCAGACUGGAGAUUGGGAAAUUUCUUCCCCUGGCAUGCACUGCACCAACCCUGAGCUAAGGUGUCCCUGACUCUCCCUCAGGAUGCUCCUGACAGAGGUACUGCACUUCCCAACUGCCUUAGGCCCCUCGGGGUGAUGCCAGGCAAGUGAAACAACAACAACAACAACAACAACAAAAGAAAAAAAACUCAAUAGUAAAUUAUUUGUUCAGCCUUCUGUCUUUUUAUGAAAAUAAAAGCCAACGCUUUGUCAUUUUUAAUCGCAUAAGCAGACAAUAAAUCUAAUUUCGAUAUUGA
This 2526-nucleotide long non-coding RNA is filed under the name Mus pahari (shrew mouse). RNAcentral's name for it is "lncRNA (MGP_PahariEiJ_G0012039.1)". Lineage: Eukaryota; Metazoa; Chordata; Mammalia; Rodentia; Muridae. The record is from RNAcentral.